AGAUUAAGCUACAAAGAGCGUAGGGUGGAUGCCUUGGCACUUGACGCCGAUGAAGGACGUGACUAACUGCGAUAAGCUGUGGGGAGCUGUAAAUGAGCAUUGAUCCACAGAUUUCCGAAUGAGGAAACUCACCAAGAGAAUGUCUUGGUAUCCGUACAUAAAUACAUAGUGUACGGAAGGGCACCCGGGGAACUGAAACAUCUCAUUACCCGGAGGAAAAGAAAGAAAACGAUCGAUUCCCUUAGUAGUGGCGAGCGAAAGGGGAAGAGCCUAAACCUAUGCAUAGCGAUAUGUAUAGGGGUUAAGGGCUCGCGUAAUUAUGACAGCCGCAGAGCAGAAUGAUCUGGAAAGUUCAGUCAAAGAGGGUGACAACCCCGUAGGCGAUAGCGACUUAGUAAGGCGAGUUCCGGAGUACCACAGGACACGAGGAAUCCGGUGGGAACAUGGGAGGACCAUCUCCUAAGGCUAAAUACGUCAAGUGACCGAUAGCGAAUAGUACUGUGAAGGAACGGUGAAAAGAACCCCGGGAGGGGAGUGAAAUAG
RNAcentral lists this ribosomal RNA (543 nucleotides) under Clostridiales bacterium. RNAcentral describes it as "bacterial LSU rRNA". It matches the Rfam family "Bacterial large subunit ribosomal RNA", at positions 1 to 546 of the family's 2925-position model. The record is from RNAcentral. Lineage: Bacteria; Bacillati; Bacillota; Clostridia; Eubacteriales.